UACGAAGGGGGCUAGCGUUGUUCGGAUUUACUGGGCGUAAAGCGCACGUAGGCGGACUUUUAAGUCAGGGGUGAAAUCCCAGAGCUCAACUCUGGAACUGCCUUUGAUACUGGAAGUCUUGAGUAUGGUAGAGGUGAGUGGAAUUCCGAGUGUAGAGGUGAAAUUCGUAGAUAUUCGGAGGAACACCAGUGGCGAAGGCGGCUCACUGGACCAUUACUGACGCUGAGGUGCGAAAGCGUGGGGAGCAAAC
This 250-nucleotide ribosomal RNA is filed under the name uncultured bacterium. RNAcentral describes it as "partial 16S ribosomal RNA". It matches the Rfam family "Bacterial small subunit ribosomal RNA", at positions 524 to 773 of the family's 1533-position model. RNAcentral also lists the same sequence under 1 other name. The record is from RNAcentral.